This 1493-nucleotide long non-coding RNA is filed under the name Salvator merianae (Argentine black and white tegu). RNAcentral's name for it is "lncRNA (ENSSMRG00000018577.1)". The record is from RNAcentral. Lineage: Eukaryota; Metazoa; Chordata; Lepidosauria; Squamata; Teiidae.
GUCAAAAGGAUUUGGGAAGCAUUAAGGCAAUCGCUCUGGAAGCAGCCAGCUCCCCAUGGGAAGCGUAGAAGCAGGGUUCUAGCACAGCAACGCCCCUGAGGUUUGCUUCUCCACGCAGAUACCUCCCCUGGGGGCCCAGCUGCACCCAGGUUUCAGUCCACCUUCGUUCCACCUUCAGCUUGCGAGGAGGCAUCAGCAAAGUGACAAGCCGUUNUCCAUCCACGUUAUCCAACCCACCUUUGGGGUCGAUAGUGCGGAAGGAAAAGGGCCGGUCACUCCGGAUCAAACCUUAAGUGCAACUGGGCUCUUGAGGGGGGGGGCACCCCCUCCCUGUCGCGACCGCCUAGAUUCCACUGCUGCAAACGAAGCAAACAGUAAUCANUCAGGACCACAACCGGGCGAGCUCGCCGGGCGCGCGAGGGCCCUCUCUCGGGGACCGGUCGCUCCGUCCAUCCUAUCCAAGGCAGCCCCAGACUCCCACCCGCGCGGACGGACCCACAGCUCGAAAGAAGCGCUCGCCCGCCACCGCCACCCCGCCGCCUUGCUCAGGGGCUCACGAUCCUCCCCGCUCUCCUCCCCCCUCGAAAGCCUUUCGGAGCAGCGCUGGGCACGGGCGGAGAGGCCCCGGGACGCAGCCCGCCCGGCCCGUCCCGCAGGAGGAAAGCUCCGCUCGGUUCCGAUCCAGCCCGGUCGGGAGCGCGUUCCCUCUCUCCCUCCGCCGUGCUUCGACGGGGAGACCUCUCCUCCCCCUCCCGACACGCACUCCUCGUCCCUUAAGCCCCCUCCGUCGGCGCCCGGGAGUGCUUCGAAGGGCACAAGCCAGGAGGCGCGAUCUCCAAAGAGAAUCAGAAUCAUAGAGUUGGAACAUGGUUGGAACUCCAGAGUUGGAACAUGGUUGGAAUCAUAGAAUCAGAAUCAUAGAGUUGGAACAGAGUUGGAACUCCAGGGUCCUCGAGUCCAACCCCUUGCUCAAUGCAGGAUCCACUAAACCAUCCCAGACAGAUGUCUGUCCAGUCUCUCCUUGAAGACCUCCAGCGAAGGAGAGCUCACCACCUCCUGUGGCAACCUGUUCCAAUGACCGGUCGCCCUUACCCUCAGAAAGUUUUUUCCUUCCCUUCUUCUUUUCACCCUUCCCUACUUCUGUCCCAGUGUGGGACAGGUUGCUUAUUCCGGGACAGGGCAUCCCACCCUGUCCUGGAAAACUGCAGGUAAGUGUGGAAAGGGCCACAUUCUGAAAGCAAACUGAAGUUGGAUUAAAAUUUAGGUGUAGAUGGUUUUCAAUAAUGAUGCUGCAGCGGCCAAANUGCAUUACUGCAAAUUUCCAGGAUUUCAUUACAUCAGGAGGGUUGCAUUUAACUGAUCGUAAGACUAAAAUCCUGCCGUACGAUGUUGGGGUGAAAGGGACAACUGUAUCUGUGAACAAAAAUCACUGUGAAUACCGACCAUCAGACUACAGUAAACAUCAAAAUAAAUGUCAAAUAAAAUGAAUAACA